Molecule: ribosomal RNA, 344 nt
Filed under: uncultured bacterium
Lineage: Bacteria
Description: bacterial SSU rRNA
Rfam family: Bacterial small subunit ribosomal RNA
Source: RNAcentral
CAUGGCUCAGGAUGAACGCUGGCGGCGUGCUUAACACAUGCAAGUCGAACGAAGCUGCUUAAAGGAAGUCUUCGGAUGGAAUUUAGGUAGACUUAGUGGCGGACGGGUGAGUAACGCGUGGAUAACCUGCCUUAUACAGGGGGAUAACGGAGAGAAAUUUCCGCUAAGACCGCAUAAGACCACAGCACCGCAUGGUGCAGGGGUAAAAUAUUUAUAGGUAUAAGAUGGAUCCGCGUCCGAUUAGCUAGUUGGUGAGGUAAAGGCCCACCAAGGCGACGAUCGGUAGCCGGCCUGAGAGGGUGAACGGCCACAUUGGGACUGAGACACGGCCCAAACUCCUACGG